Molecule: long non-coding RNA, 356 nt
Organism: Aquila chrysaetos chrysaetos
Lineage: Eukaryota; Metazoa; Chordata; Aves; Accipitriformes; Accipitridae
Exons: 3
Source: RefSeq, a predicted model, not a curated record
ACAGUGUGAGUCCUACAAUGCUCCAUUUAAUGGAUGUUAUUUAGGUUGAAAGAUUUCCAGCUGUUGUGUUUAAAUCUGAUGGAAAUGACCCUGGGAGCAGAGGGAGAAUCUCUGCUGGGGUGAAACUGCUUGGCUGUCCACUGCCAGUGAAGCACUCUGAGCUGAGAUGGGGAAUCAUUCAGAAGACUUUGAUCUCGGAUGACACUUCACUCCUACAAACCUGCCAGCAAGUCAUGGCAGUCUCUGCCUGAGUCAAGCUUAUGGCUUGCUCUGGUGCUGCCUACCUCUUGAGCAUCCUGCGUAACCUCAUCAGUGGCCCGUGAUGCAGUGCCCACCCAUGAGUCACGCAGUAAAGC